UUGGCUCAAUAAUUGACCUAGUUUUCUCCUCAUGGUGGACUCAGCUAACUAUCUUAUUGGUACUUCUAACCUAACGAUGGAUUGUUGUUAGGUCAUAAUUAGUUGUUAAAGUUGAGUAAACCUAUCAUCAGCUAGAUUGGUCUGUUGAGCAGGUGGGUAUGAUGGCUGAUUAUAAUAUGAUGGCUAAGUAGGCUGACCUCUAU
RNAcentral lists this long non-coding RNA (203 nucleotides) under Elaeis guineensis (African oil palm). RNAcentral's name for it is "long non-coding RNA (EGUI_LNC015105)". The record is from RNAcentral. Lineage: Eukaryota; Viridiplantae; Streptophyta; Magnoliopsida; Arecales; Arecaceae.